GACGAACGCUGGCGGCGUGCCUAAUACAUGCAAGUCGAGCGAGUCUGCCUUGAAGAUCGGAGUGCUUGCACUCUGUGAAACAAGAUACAGGCUAGCGGCGGACGGGUGAGUAACACGUGGGUAACCUGUCCAAGAGAUCGGGAUAACACCUGGAAACAGAUGCUAAUACCGGAUAACAACAGAUGAUGCCUAUCAACUGUUUAAAAGAUGGUUCUGCUAUCACUCUUGGAUGGACCUGCGGUGCAUUAGCUAGUUGGUAGGGUAACGGCCUACCAAGGCGAUGAUGCAUAGCCGAGUUGAGCGACUGAUCGGCCACAUUGGGACUGAGACACGGCCCAAACUCCUACGGGAGGCAGCAGUAGGGAAUCUUCCACAAUGGACGCAAGUCUGAUGGAGCAACGCCGCGUGAGUGAAGAAGGGUUUCGGCUCGUAAAGCUCUGUUGUUGGUGAAGAAGGACAGGGGUAGUAACUGACCUUUGUUUGACGGUAAUCAAUUAGAAAGUCACGGCUAACUACGUG
Molecule: ribosomal RNA, 519 nt
Filed under: uncultured bacterium
Lineage: Bacteria
Description: partial 16S ribosomal RNA
Rfam family: Bacterial small subunit ribosomal RNA
Source: RNAcentral